Caerostris darwini is the source of this 100-nucleotide non-coding RNA. Lineage: Eukaryota; Metazoa; Arthropoda; Arachnida; Araneae; Araneidae. The record is from the annotation of a GenBank genome assembly.
AACGGCCGUACCAUGCUGAAUAUACCGGUUCUCGUUAGAUCACCGAAGUCAAGCAUCAUUGGGCGCGGUCAGUACUUGGGUGGGUGACCACCUGGGAACA